CAUAGUAUUUCUGUGUGUAUCCAU
Molecule: non-coding RNA, 24 nt
Filed under: Arabidopsis thaliana (thale cress)
Lineage: Eukaryota; Viridiplantae; Streptophyta; Magnoliopsida; Brassicales; Brassicaceae
Source: RNAcentral